This 305-nucleotide ribosomal RNA is filed under the name uncultured bacterium. RNAcentral describes it as "bacterial SSU rRNA". It matches the Rfam family "Bacterial small subunit ribosomal RNA", at positions 335 to 656 of the family's 1533-position model. The record is from RNAcentral.
ACGCCUACGGGAGGCAGCAGUGGGGAAUAUUGCACAAUGGGGGAAACCCUGAUGCAGCAACGCCGCGUGAAGGAAGACGGUUUUCGGAUUGUAAACUUCUGUUCUUAGUGAAGAAGAAUGACGGUAGCUAAGGAGCAAGCCACGGCUAACUACGUGCCAGCAGCCGCGGUAAUACGUAGGUGGCAAGCGUUGUCCGGAAUUACUGGGUGUAAAGGGAGCGCGGGCGGGAAGCCAAGUCAGCUGUGAAAACUACGGGCUUAACUUGUAGACUGCAGUUGAAACUGGUUUUCUUGAGUGAAGGAGCG